AAAAGCGAAAUUAAAACUUCAAAGUUCCAUUCUUCAUAUGUAUUCAUGCUUUCACAUUUUCAGCUUACAAUAUCGACAAGGUUACAGUCAUGUACCUGGUAUUGAAUACAAGAGAAGAGGAAGAUGAGAAUCAGCAACAGUAGUAACAAUACAGCACAACAACAACAAUCUAGCAACAGUAAUAGCCCAGGAACAGAGUUUGCAAACCGGUGGAGCAGUAACCCAAAAACCAACCAGACUUAGGAAAACCAAGCAAAGACCCGAAAACCUCAAUAACUUCCACAGACAAGACAGAAUGAACCCAAAAAGACAGAAGAGGCUCUGGGAUAAUUCUGAGUUUUGUUCUUUUAAGAUUCGAAGUCGAACACUCUCAAGAUUAAAAGUCUGUUUUUAUCUCUUUUUUGGUUCUGAAAUUUCUAUCUCCAAAUUCAGUCCCUUUCUUCCUUUUUUUUUCAAGUGUCCAAGUCUCCUCCAUUUAUUACCAACUUUCAGCAUUUUUAAAAUUAAAAACCCACUAUCUUCCACUCAUCCCCAUUUUAAUCCCACUACCUAAUGUUUUGACCCCCACUACAUUAAACAAAUACAUUAUCCCCCCCCCCCCAUUAUAUCUUGUCCUCCAUGCCUACAUUAAACAAUUAUAUUAUUCCCCCACUACAUUAUGUCUUGUCCCCCACCAUGUACUAUUUUAAUAUUAUUAAAAUAUUAUUUAAUCUUAAUGGACAGAGCACUCAAAAUAAUUAAUUGUUCAGAUUUUCAAUUCCAAAAAUACCCCUCCGACCUUACUGAAAUUACCAUUUUACCCCUAAAAAUACUGCAAUUUACCAAUCUACCCCCAUCAGCUAUAACCAAUUCACCUAAUCAAUUCCAACCAAAAUACAGCAAAUAUAACCAAUUCCUAAACAAAUUUUAUGAACAAACUCAAACUAAAUGAUGAACAACAAAGAAAUAACUGGAAUUAUUUUAACUGAACAAUAUUUUUAAACAACAAAUCCACUUUCAGAUUUCAACAGCAAUUACAAACAAGUAUAUCCAAAUCAUUGAGCAUCAAAUUCAAAUUAAACUUAAACAAAACAAAUAAACAGAUUCAAAUCACUAAAUUAAAUAACCAAUUGAACCUCAAACUAAAUCUAACAAUUUUACAAACAAAGUAAAGGAUUCAAUUGACUAAUACAUCUCUAUAUUAAAACUAAACAAGAACAAAUGAAUAAAAACAAACUGAAGAAAUAAUCAAAGUGAAAAUAACGAACAAGAAAAGAAUCAAACUUAUACUAAUUUCGGAUCUGAAAAUAUCAAACAAAAUACGGACAAAAAAUGAAACUUAAACCAACUAACCGGAAAUAAACAACGACGAGCUCGAACGGAAACGGACAACUCGAACAAACAACCUCGACAUACCGGAUCUCGACGAACAACGAAAACCCACCUUCCUUUUAACCUUGACGAAC
This 1445-nucleotide long non-coding RNA is filed under the name Nicotiana tabacum (common tobacco). RNAcentral describes it as "long non-coding RNA (NTAB_LNC006301)". The record is from RNAcentral. Lineage: Eukaryota; Viridiplantae; Streptophyta; Magnoliopsida; Solanales; Solanaceae.